Molecule: long non-coding RNA, 430 nt
Organism: Magnolia sinica
Lineage: Eukaryota; Viridiplantae; Streptophyta; Magnoliopsida; Magnoliales; Magnoliaceae
Exons: 3
Source: RefSeq, a predicted model, not a curated record
CUAGAAUUAGGUGGAAAUAUCUAGAGAGGAUUCCUGUAAGCGUUUACUCUAACUGGUAGUCAUAUACUGGUUCUUCCCCCUCAUGCAACAACUAUAAGAGGUGGGUCCACAGUUAUAGACACCCAUUACUCUAUUUUGAAAUUUGCACAAUACACUGGAGCUCAUCCAAUUGCAGGGCGGCACACACCAGGAACCUUCAGGUUCUAUUAUGAAUACAGGAUACAUUUUGAAAAGGAUAAAGCAUUAGCUCGACGAUUCCAGCCUGUGUUGAUAAACGAGCCUAGCCAGGAGGCAGCCAUGAUAUGAUUGGAUAUGAGGUUGUUGUAUUCCGUCCCCUUGAGAAGACAUAGGUUAUGGACCUAGACAGAUGAUGGUUGGAUGGAGGGAUUUCUUUUAUAUGUAUUUAGAAUAUUUUUAACACAUUAUUGUA